Molecule: RNA transcript, 2041 nt
Organism: Eubalaena glacialis (North Atlantic right whale)
Lineage: Eukaryota; Metazoa; Chordata; Mammalia; Artiodactyla; Balaenidae
Gene name: centrosomal protein of 78 kDa-like
Exons: 9
Source: RefSeq, a predicted model, not a curated record
CUGAGGCCGGCGUCAAAGUGAGCGCGGCAUGGAGGGGUCUGCCUAACUGGGGCCCGUGGCCCUGCGUCUUCUGGCUGCGACGCGGGUCCUGCGCACGCUGCGGGGCCGCAGCCGCCGGGCGGUGGGCGCCCGAGGGGCCGGGAGGCGAGCCGGGGCCCCCAGGCGGGUGUGGGCACCGUGUCCACAGCCAGCGUCCCCGAUGCCGCGCUCGGGCCAUGAUGACCGGUGAAGCUGCGCUGCGACAGCGCGGCCGACUUCUUCCCUGUGUCCAGUAGUGGUCUGGAGGGUUAUUUGUCAAGGUGUAAAGAGUUCUACCACUCUUAAGACAGUAAACUUCACGGGGUGUAAUCUGACAUGGCAGGGAGCAGAUCACAUGGCCAAGAUCUUAAAGUAUCAGACUACCAGAAGGCAUGAAGAAACCUGGGCUGAGAGUCUUCGUUCCAGGAGACCUGAUCUUGACUGUAUGGCUGGUUUGAGGCGCAUCUCUCUGAACUGCAACACGCUCAUUGGUGACCUGGGUGCAAGUGCUUUGGCAGAAUCUCUUAGUGAGGAUUUAUGGCUUAGAGCACUUGACCUGCAGCAGUGUGGCCUCACCAGUGAAGGAGCAAAGGCUUUACUAAAGGCCCUUGAAACCAACAGAACUCUGCUCGUUCUGGAUAUAAGAAAAAAUCCACUUGUUGAUCAUUCUGUGAUGAAAGCAGUUAUCAAGAAAUGUCUCCAGAAUGGAAGGAGUGCCAAGUCAGAGUACCAGUGGAUAACUUCUCCAUCGGUGAAGGAACCAUCCAAAGCUGCUAGACAGAAAAAGAGAACUAUAAUUUUGGGAAGUGGUCGAAAAGGAAAAGCUACUAUUAGAAUUGAUGUCCAGUGGAGCCCCAGAAUAGAAGCAAGACAAAUAUUCCAUUCCACAUUGGCGACACCAAAGGAGAUGAUGCUUUAGAAAAAAGAUUUCUCGACAAAGCUCUUGAACUCAAUAUGAUCUCCCUGAAAGGGCAUAGGUGCUCGAGAGAGGGUAUAUUCAUCUGUGUUAAUCACUGCUGUGUUUCCUGAACAUGCCUAUGAAACAUACUGAAGAAUGGUGCCUGAAAUUUGAAGUAAGUUCAGAUUCAAAUGGAAAGCAUGGCCUCCCGGAGCUGUUAACACCUUCACUUAGUCUUGGAUGUGACCAGUAGCACAGAAUUCUGGUGGAACUAGUAAGACUCCAAAUGGGUACCAAAUAAGCAUGUCAUGGAAAGCACACCAUGAGCAGGGUGAAAACUAGAUGUGAAUGGGGCAGCAGGAAUGGUGGCAGACACACAUAUUGCACAUGUCCCCUCUGCUCAUGCGUAUAUUUUAUUGUCCCAUAAACUUUACUUACAAAACGUAAGUUCAAAGAUAAAAUCAUUAAGAAUUUCAAGACAUCAAUAGCAGAGCAUGAAACCAAGCAAGCGUGGGGCCCUUCUGAACAUGGUUCAUGCGGGACUUGAUCAACUGGUAAAAGAGCCAAGACUCUGAGAUACCCACACCAUGUCAGUGACAGAAGUCCAAGCUAGAGAUAUUGAAGGAGCCCUCAAUGCCAUUCAGGCACUGAAAGCCCUGUCACUGAGAAUGAACCAAAAUGUAAAUUUAGGAGGAUAAUUUAUGGACAUUUAGGACUUUGGAUUUUUAACCCACAAUAACAAGAAAACUUCAUUUCACAAGAAAGUGUGAGGGCUUCUCUGGUGGCGCAGUGGUUGAGACUCUGCCUGCCAAUGCAGGGGACACGGGUUCGAGCCCUGGUCUGGGAAGAUCCCACAUGCCGCGGAGCGACUAGGCCCGUGAGCCACAAUUGCUGAGCCUGCACGUCUGGAGCCUGUGCUCCGCAACAAGUAGAGGCCGCGAUAGUGAGAGGCCCGCGCACCACAAUGAAGAGUGGCCCCCACUUGCCACAACUAGAGAAAGCCCUCGCACAGAAACGAAGACCCAACACAGCCAAAAAUAAAUAAAUAAAUAAAAUUAAAAAAAAAAAAAAAAAAAGAAAGUGUGAGGUCUUCAAGUUUGCUUUGGUUAUUGAGGGUCCUUUGUG